CACGUAGUUAGCCGGUGCUUAUUCUGCAGGUACCGUCAGUUUCACGGGGUAUUAACCCAUGACGUUUCUUUCCUGCCAAAAGUGCUUUACAACCCGAAGGCCUUCAUCGCACACGCGGGAUGGCUGGAUCAGGGUUUCCCCCAUUGUCCAAAAUUCCCCA
Molecule: ribosomal RNA, 160 nt
Filed under: uncultured bacterium
Lineage: Bacteria
Description: partial 16S ribosomal RNA
Source: RNAcentral